RNAcentral lists this transfer RNA (71 nucleotides) under Marmota monax (woodchuck). RNAcentral describes it as "tRNA.Ala". The record is from RNAcentral. Lineage: Eukaryota; Metazoa; Chordata; Mammalia; Rodentia; Sciuridae.
GGAGUUGUAGCUCAGUGGUGGAGUGCUUGCCUAGCAAGAGUGAGAGGCAUUGGGUUCGAUUCUCAGCACCA